This is a long non-coding RNA of Diorhabda carinulata, 6696 nucleotides long. RefSeq lists it as uncharacterized. NCBI's taxonomy places the organism in Eukaryota, Metazoa, Arthropoda, Insecta, Coleoptera, Chrysomelidae. The record is from RefSeq and is a predicted model, not a curated record. The transcript is spliced from 3 exons.
ACGAACGACAGUUAACGUAUCCGAACAAUCAGAUCAUGAAUGAGUUAACCCGAUCAUAAUUUUCGAAUAUGUCUUAAAAUAUAGUGGUUUGUGGUUGAUAACCUCGUGAAGCUUAAAUUGUAAGUAUAAAUUUAUUGGUAGUUUUAGUUGCAAAUAGAUAUUACAAAGAAACCAAUUAAAAUGAAAGUUUAAAAAAAAAGAAAUUAAUAGUUGGGUGUGUAAAUAAAACUCUAGAUUUAUUAUUUAUUUUAAUAAUGAUUGGCACACAUUUUUUACAACAGAAAGUUAUGGCAAUAUUUGUACAAUAAAAUAUUUAUAAAUAAAUAAAUAAAAAACCUCAGAAUGUACAAAAACUAAAUCUUGAACAAAUUUAAGAGAAUAAAAUUACAACAAUGCUAUAAAUGAGUAACGUACACAGAGAAAAAUCAUUUAUAUGAAACCUUGAAUAGAAGUUUGAAUUACAUUAUUGAAAAUCUGUUAAUUAACUAAAUGUGUAAAUAUAGGAGAUUUAUUACAUUGAAAUAGUAUACGAAACGUUUUUCUCUGUGUAAGAUUUAGCAAAAGCCAACAGAUGGUAUAUUUUAGUACAAAUUCUAUGUAUAAGUGUAAGACUACGUGUCUUUUAGAUACACAAACAAGAAAAAUCAUAGUAGGGUAAACUAUCAAUACAUUUACUUUUUAGUAUUAAUUGUUUUCUUGGCUAAAAAUGUCUAUUUAGAUAAAUCAUAGAUUUAAUUUUUUCCACAUUUUUUAAAAUGUCUUCAACAAAUCUUGAAACCACGAAUUUUUAAUUUGAUUAUGACUUUUAUGAAAAUUUGUUUCAACAAAGAAAUGUUUCGCAUAAUCUGUCAGUGGUGUGCCCAAAAUUUUGCUUUGAGAGGGGCAGUACAUAAGUCCACCGAAUCUCAGUGGGUAUGGACUACCCUCCAGUGUAGCAAGGGGUUCCUUUUUUUAUAAGAUACAUUACAGAUUCUAAUUAUAUGUAGCAAUAUAUAAAUUUUUUGAGUUUUUCAUACAACAUUAUUAUAUUUUUUGGUCAAGCACGCCACUAAUAUCUGUAUACUAUCUAAUAAUGGUGGAAGAUUUUCUGUUUGUCACAUUUUUUUGAGAUAUGAAGUCAUCAUGUAAUUAGGGACGACGGUUCUUUCAGAAAAAUAUCGAUUUUUAAAUCGAUUCGCAUCGCAACCUAAUGAAUCGACCAGUAAAAAAUCGAUUUCCAAUCGCCUUUUCUCCAAGUUUGUAUUUAUCAGUAAAAUAUGGGAUUUUAUACUUCAGGGUUAUGCUAAAGUUUUUUUUUAUCUUUCCAGUAAAGUAUAAGAUCAAAAUUUAGGUGCACAUCUGCCUAUUGUGAAUAAUUUUAUGGUUUUAAGGGUGACAUAUCGAUUCAAAAAAUCGAUUUAUUUGGUACAAGGUCGAAAGAACAUAUUUUCAUCUAUACUAGUAGGGAAAAAGUAUUCAGGCAUACUAUUUAGAAUAGGCAUGCUGGACAUAAGGUUGCAAAGUAUAAUCAGGGUGAUCCAAAUUCAACCAAAUCACAAUUUAAACUUUCCUAACUUAAUUAAAAAUUAUUGUAGUGAAUUAAAAUUAUAAAUAUCUAUAGUGACGUCUUAAUUUUCACAAAUUUAUAGGUUAGCUUCUUUAUAUAGGUAUAGUUCUUUCAAUAUCAAUCGCAGAAGACAGUUACCUUAGGAACAAUCAAUGAGAAGAUAAAAAUCAAUUUUUAACCAAGAAACGCCGCAAUACACUCAUCAGAAACUUCAAUUUACUCAUUUUUACCCUACUACCAUGUGUGACAAUAUUUUUUUACGGUAUGUGCUCUAUCUGUAAAUCUUGAAUUAGAUCUUUUUUUUUCAGCUACUUUUUUUCCCUAACAGAUUUACUUUCAGCAAUCGUAUUUAUAUUUACAACAGUGACCUCUUUGGUAAAAAAAAAAUGAUAAAAUUAGGCACUGCUUCAUAAUACAAUAUGAGCAAUAAAUUAACAUUUACUUAUUUAAACAAAGCUACAAAUUAAAAAUAGGAAACUGAGUUAAUUAUUCGUUGUUUAGAUAAUUGCUGGGCCUUAUAUAAUAUAACUCCCAGAAAUAUACUGACCCACGUUUCGAACUCUCUUUCUAUCAUAUAGAUUACAGAUUACAAACUUGCUGGGGCCCAUACCAAAAAGAAAAAACACAUCAUCAACUGAGGGGUAGCUACUCUGAUUCCGAAAAGUUGGAACUUGAUAUUAAAUCUCCGAUUGAGACUAGCUUAUUAACAAGAAACCAGAAAAACAAAUUACUCUCAAAGAUACUUUGAUAAAGAGUAAAUUCCAAACCCCCAGUCUUCCACCGAUUCCUCUCCGGUCUUCGAUCUGUCCCUAAGUAUGCAUUUCCCCCCUUCAUAGAGUUGUCGUUAUUAUUUAUUCCGAUGUAUGGAUUGAAACUAUAGGGAAAUAUGGAGAAUCCGGAGCAAUCCGUCCUCAUUUGUCGACUGGUUCAGUAGUUUUCUUAAGAUCCAGAUCGCUUUCGAUGGACACACCUCAGAAAGGUUUGUGAUGUUAUUUUGAGGGGCUUGAUGAUUCUUAUUAUGGGAAUGUGGAAAUAGGGGCUAAAAAAAAAUUUUUUUUUAAUUUUUGUGUUUUCUUCGUUGGGCCAGGUACUUCUGGAACCUUCUUCGUUGCUAUAAAGUAGUUUACUCAACGAAAUAUUAAAAAAAAGAUCAUUUCUUACUAUUUUUUUGCUUGCACGAAUAAAUGAUUAUGUAUAAUCUGGAUUGAACAAGAUUUAAAUAGUCAUGGAGCUAUAUUAAUAAUGAGGGUCCCGGCAACAAUCUUUAAAAUCUCAAAUGUUAAUUUAAACCUAACCUAACAUUAUAUAUAUUUAUAUUUUGUGCUAAGUCGAUUCAAAGGAAAUUAUCCGCACUAUGUGGAAUUGCCCUAAGAAUAUUAAAUUCCUCCAAAUUGCAAUAUUUUCAGAGAUUCUGAACAGUUGCGUAUACAGGUAAAUUUAUUUUUAACUGUUUUUGAUAAACAGAACUAUUUAGUAUAUUUUCAACUUUCCGGAUACGCCACUGGUUCAAAAUGUUAUAUUUAUAUGGAACUAAGCAUUAAAAAUAAUGUUUCGUAGUCUUAAUUUAACAAUAUCACAAUUAUAAUAUUGCAAUUGAUUCUAAUUAUAACUAGAUAUGCUUCCAUAAACUUUAGAUCCAUACUAUAAAUUUUAGAUUUUUGAAUAAAUUCAUUUUCUUUUCGUUUAUUAACAAGUUUAGAAAAUUUUAGCAGCAUAAUUUCCAUUAUCGGAACCCACUCCACAUAACCGAAAAGUAGAGACGUACCCCGCGCUUUUAGAAAUUAUAAAAAUACCAGCCAGUCUCGUGAUUUUUUUUUUGUAAAUAGAAAAUAAUUGUCUAAAUCUCUUAAACACUCGUUUAAAUAGAUUUUUUAAAUAAAUAUUUGUUUAUAAAAUACGUCUUUACUUUCAAGAACUUUCAAUAAUUAAAUAUCUAUAUAAAUCUAAAAAUUAUAUAUCGCACAUUAAUAUACAGUUUUCAAAAUAUACAGGGUGAUCAAUAAAAGAAAACCUCAUUUAUAUAACUUAUAGGUAAAAUGCUAUAAUUCGAUUAAUGAAUCACCCUGUAGAUUAACCUAACUUUGCUAUAGGGAGUGUUUUUUUUUUAAACAAUGAAAAUAUUUCAAACCGUAGAAUUACAAUUGAUUUAAAUUGAAAGUAAAUAUUUCAUAAUAAAAAAAUGAGCACAGCUAUUUCACAAUACGAUGUCGAACUGUUGUAAAAUUUUCAAAAUGUUGCAAGCAUUGAACUGUUGAAAACUGCCAAUUGUUUGGCAUAUUUUUCAAAUUAGUCACAAAGUCAUGCAGUACGUAUAAAAAAAAUUCAGCUAAUUGUCUAAUCAAAUUACUUAAUUAUAUAUUAUUGUCUAGAAUUAUUACAAUAUCCUUAAAAUUUGAUCAGUUUCUGCCUUAUUUAAUCACAUUAAGGCCAAAAUAAUAAAUUCAACCAAAUUGUAAAAUUGUGUAUAUAUAUUUUAUACCAUAAAAUUUUUAUACAAACUUAAUUUUGAAUAUAUUCGUUUGUCUAUGAAUUCGUCAAUUAAAUUGACAUCUAUUAAAAGAGAAGAUUUUACUGUCAAGGUAUCGGGUAUAAACAGCUAACUUCAUUGUUUUAUUCAUGUUAAUUUAUAAUAAGAAUCAACUUUUCGAUAAAUCUCGUUGGAUUUUUUAUGAAAAAAAUAGCAUUAUGUAAAUCUAGAAGUUGAAUUAAUCUACCUGCACCCCCGUUGGUAAAACUGUAAACAGUAGAAUGAGUAACUUCAUCCCGUACACCCCCAGGAAUACACAAAAGUGUUUCAAAUAUGCUGCAAACAGGUCUUCUGGAGAGUAGAAACCAUUUGGACUCCACUAGAGCUACCCGAUAGAGAGUGAUUACCAAAAGUUAUCCAGUUUUAGUUUCUUUAAUUUCAAAUAACACUAAAUAAACCAACACUAACACGCGUUUCCUUCAGUCUCUGAAGAUGAUAACAAAUUAAUUUUGAAGGAAUUAUGUAUCAGCGCGUUCUGGACACAAUUUAUAAUAAUUAGCCAACCACUGACCGUACUGUUGAAUUUGAUACAUCAAAAUUUGGAAAAUUUUUUGUAACACAACAAAUAUUUCAAAUAAAAAAUUACCGUGGGUCAUAGUUAUAAGGGUUGAACUAUUAAUAGAUGACCUGUCAUGAUUGUUAAUUUAUUUUGACACCCUGUAUAUCUAACCGGUGUUGUUAAUUGUUAGCAAAACUUGGAAAUCGAUUAUGUAGUAUGAACCAUCUUGAAAGAAUGUAGUAGUAUCAAUAACUAAGAAUGAUUUACUUUUAUUACAAUUGGAAAUCGAGGGAUUAAAUUAAUUAGAAAUAUUUAAUUCAAAAUAAUUGACAUCAAUCGUUGAGUUUACAAUAUUUAUUAGCCCGCCGAUAUUGAAAAACUGAAAAGAUAUUAAUUGAAAAAUAAUUGAUAUGUAGGCAAUUUACUUGAAAAUACUUUUAAGAUUUCUGAAAUGAACUCUCUAAUGUACAGGGGCUAAAAAAAAUUGCUUACAUUGAAAUGACAAAAUUCGUUUCUAAUUCGUUAACAUUGACAGACGUUGUAAUUUGAGAUAGGACAUAUAUAACAGCGAUUAUACUCGAUAUAUAAUAAUAUAUUCUAUGAAUUUUUAUUUUUUUCGAAGAUAGAUAACAUCUAUUCAUCAUUGUUUGUAGAAAAUAUUUCGAGUUCUAUAAAAUCUAAUAAGAACUAGAUAUAAAAUUUGAUAUUUUCUCAUCUGUUACAGAUACUUUCCAUUCUACAAAAUUAUGGGGAAUAAAAUUGAUUCGAGUAGGUCCUUCAGCCACCAAAAGAAAAUGAAAUUUAUCACAUUACGAUGUAAAAUCAUCUAACAAAACAGCAUCCUAACCUCAAUUUCAUUACGUGUGAAGUUUUGGAAAACUGGUGAUACAAUGUUUUACCUCAUUACACAUUAUUAUGUAUUCGAUAUACAAAAAGCUACGAGGGAGACAUUAUAGAGAAGAAAGACCAAGAAAUGAGGAACCUGUACAACGAACAAGUAAAAAUCCAAAAGACCGCAACGAAAAUUACUGGCAAGAACAUUGAAAAAUGAGAAGACCUAUAAAGAGAUGGUAUCCUGGUACACAAGAAGAUCUAAUGGUGACAGGAAUUCAAAACUAGAAGGCCACGACAAAAAAUCAAAAAGAACCGUAUAUAUUUGUACUAGAAAACACGAUUGUGCCAAAUUUCUUCGCCAAAAAUGGCAUUUCCACCCCUCUACAUUGACCAACAUUCCGCUAAUACAUUUUUCGAUAAACAUACCCCCACUGCUUUUAGGAUUAACCUUUCGAAUGACUUCCCGUUGUAUUUCUAUGAACCAUCGAAUAGGAACCCCACCAAGAUCACGAAUCGCAUACUAAAUGUCUAUUAGUACCUUUAAAGAUAAUAGAUAUUAGCUGUUUUCUACGUAGAUAUAUUUUAAGCCGUCGAAGCGCAAUUGGAGACACAGCGUCUUCUCUUAAAACCUAGGAAGACACUCGAGUUUAGGCAAGCCAAAUAAUAACGAUACUAUUCCCUUUCCUCGUUCACUACAUCCACCAGUAAUUCCACGUCAGUCAAUAACCGACUUUAUAUACAAGGGGAAUAUUAUUAUUAUUAUUACUAUUAUUUAGUAACAGCUAUUGCACGCAAGUGUCGAGGAAUGUAAGACCGGUUUUUGGGGUUAUGGGGCUUUCAACCCGCGCCUGUCGCCCUUUUUGGACGAUUGUCAGUCUUGCUACUUUUCGUAUCACUGAUAUAUGGUCCAGCACUAUGAGUAGCCAAUUGAAGAUAACUAGAUUGUUUAAUAAUGUCACUGUCACUUGAUGAAUGUACAUUUUGAGCCGCCACCACGCCAUCGAAUCCCACCGCUCGUUGAUAAUCACCGCAAAGGAUAUUAUAAUUGCAGCAUAACGUCCCGUCCUACAAAAAUAUAAUUUCAUAUUAAUAAAAAUGAAAAAUCAUCUUAUAAAUUAAUUUUAAUAAAAUAAAAUCUAUCAGAUCGAUUUUAAUUUCUAUAAAUUAUUUUUUUAUUAUAUAUUUUUCGUGUAUAUAAUAUAUUUAUUUCCCUUCUAAUUGUUCCUGAUUUUAGUUCUGUUCUGAUUUGCAACAUUUAGAAUCAUAAACAUAUUAAAACCGUAAAAGAAA